UUUUCUGAUGAGUUUUCCUAGUCUGCAGGGAAGUUCUGCUGCUCCUUUUCAGAUUUUUUUUCGGGCAGUGCCUUUGUACGGAUGUUUUUCUUACGGUGCCUCUGACUGGAUGUUGAGUCACAACUUUUUGUCAUUUAUUUUUGCAUGAAUUGGAUUUUUCAGAACCAACGGUUUGCAAGAGAAUUCUGUGAUGGGAGUGGGGAAGCUUGCCUCCUUUCUCAGCUCGAGGGCUCCCUCCUCUGUUACUGCAGGGAUGUAUACUUUCUUUACCAUGCGGCACCUCGUCUGAAUUUCGGAUCCCAACCCGGCUCAGGAGGGCUCCCACGAUCGUUUUCAGAUAUCGUAAAUGCCAGAAGCGAGGGCCCAGCACAGUGCGCUGUAGAAUACCCCGCAGAAUGCAUAAUGAUCGGUCCUUAAGAGCUCACAGCGGGGCUGGUGGUCCGUUAGGAGCUACAGGAGUCCUAGUGAAAAGAUACUGCAGAACUCAAGAGCUUCUACGUGCUCGGACCUCACUGGUUGGACUCCCUUCCUGACUGGGGCUAUCAGCACGAAGCAGGCCCAUCGGGGAGAAGCUACUGCUCUUCGUGUCCCCCGGGGCCCGGGCUUGGUUUGAAGCAGGGAACCCUGGCCUGGGCCCCUCAGGGUUUCGGAGGCAGUGGUGACAGGGUAGGUCCUGGGAGGCUGGCCAAGACAUAAGCUGUCCGUUGAAGCAACCACAUCUGCCUCUAUUACUGUUAUUCUAGAGGCUUUAUCACAGAUAAAGCCUGGUCAGUUCUUUAAUUACUAACCCAUUUUUCACCUUCAUAAACUUCUCUAGAGGCUAUUUUUAGACUAUGAGAUAUCUGUAUAAAAUAUCACUUCAUUGAUUUUUGUACUAGGACUUUUUUUUUUUUUUUAAUGUAGUUUCCAUGCCCAGCAUGGGGCCCAAAGUGGGGCUUGAACUCAUGACCCCGAAAUCGAGACCUGAGCUGAGAUCGAGUUGGACACUUAACCGACUGAGUUCCCCAGGUGCCCCUAUUAUGACCUACUUUUGAAUAUAGUUGUCAAAUGUUUCUUUGACAUGGAUAAUUUUAUUCCUAUAAUUCGUCGUUAAGAACGCCCCACAUGGAAGUCCAUAGACUAGAGUGGAUUCUUUUUCUAUCCUCAGUCUUGUGCAAACUCAAAAUCUCCUUUUUCUGUCCUCUGCACCCCCACCUCUAUCACGCACAUCAGUUCUGUGACAGGACCCCCCAACGCCCUCCUCUCUGAUUCAUUCUCCACAUUUUGCCCUGGCGAAGUGUUCAGUAAAUGCUGAGCAACUGAUAAUAUCCAUCUCCCUUUUCAUUCCUUCCAUCUGCAGAGGAGACUAAUUUUAAUUUAGUUUAAUGUUAAAUUUUAUAUAAAACCAUCAGGCCAGGGUGUAUUGAAGCAACUUCGGGACACAUUCUCUUUAGGCAAAUCAUUCAACAGCAAAAAAAAAAAAGUUAAUUUUUCUUCAUCUUCUAGAGGAAAUAAAUCCCUCACUUCUUUUAGGAAUCCCUUUGAUUCCUAUUCCUUUGAAUACAUGGUUUUUAGCUUAUAGAACUUGAAAAUAAAUUAUCACCCCACUAGAGACACCAGUGUUAUUAUUUGAUAAAAAGCAUUUUAAAAUGGCUAUUAGUUCACUCCUUAAUUAAAUGUGCCCCAUAAUUACUGAUUGUGAUGUAUUCUCAAGUAAGAAAUC
Mirounga angustirostris (Northern elephant seal) is the source of this 1702-nucleotide long non-coding RNA. RefSeq lists it as uncharacterized. The record is from RefSeq and is a predicted model, not a curated record. The transcript is spliced from 3 exons. Lineage: Eukaryota; Metazoa; Chordata; Mammalia; Carnivora; Phocidae.